AACGGUUCGAUUCAUGCUACAUGCUUUCUGUGAAAUUUACUUAGCAAUUGAAUUUUACAAUUUUAUCCAUUGAGUUCUUCAAGAACUAUAUAAUAAAUCACUAUCAAUUUACAAUCCUUCAAGGAUGUAGGAAUAUUGAAUUCAUCUAGAAUUCAUUGAAGAGAAAAAGAAGUAUUUUAUUAGUUCUUCAGGAACUAUAUAACACAUAAAA
This 211-nucleotide long non-coding RNA is filed under the name Trifolium pratense (red clover). RNAcentral's name for it is "long non-coding RNA (TPRA_LNC004212)". Lineage: Eukaryota; Viridiplantae; Streptophyta; Magnoliopsida; Fabales; Fabaceae. The record is from RNAcentral.